This 253-nucleotide ribosomal RNA is filed under the name uncultured bacterium. RNAcentral describes it as "partial 16S ribosomal RNA". It matches the Rfam family "Bacterial small subunit ribosomal RNA", at positions 524 to 776 of the family's 1533-position model. The record is from RNAcentral.
UACGUAGGGUGCGAGCGUUGUCCGGAAUUACUGGGCGUAAAGAGCUCGUAGGGGGUUUGUCGCGUUGUUCGUGAAAUCUCACGGCUUAACUGUGAGCGUGCGGGCGAUACGGGCAGACUAGAGUACUGCAGGGGAGACUGGAAUUCCUGGUGUAGCGGUGGAAUGCGCAGAUAUCAGGAGGAACACCAGUGGCGAAGGCGGCUAACUGGUCCGAUACUGACGCUGAGGUGCGAAAGCGUGGGGAGCAAACAGG